UAAUACGGAGGGUGCAAGCGUUAUCCGGAUUUAUUGGGUUUAAAGGGUGCGCAGGCUGGCUUGUCAGUCAGUGGUGAAAUCCCGGGGCUCAACCCCGGAACUGCCAUUGAUACUGCAAGUCUUGAAUACGGUUGAAGUAGGCGGAAUGUAGCAUGUAGCGGUGAAAUGCAUAGAGAUGCUACAGAACACCGAUCGCGAAGGCAGCUUACUAAGCCGAUAUUGACGCUCAGGCACGAAAGCGUGGGGAGCGAACAGGAUUAGAUACCCUGGUAGUCCACGCCGUAAACUAUGAUCACUCGUUGUUGGCAAUACACAGUCAGUGACCAAGCGAAAGCGAUAAGUGAUCCACCUGGGGAGUACGAUCGCAAGGUUG
Molecule: ribosomal RNA, 373 nt
Filed under: uncultured Bacteroidota bacterium
Lineage: Bacteria; Pseudomonadati; Bacteroidota
Description: bacterial SSU rRNA
Rfam family: Bacterial small subunit ribosomal RNA
Source: RNAcentral